RNAcentral lists this ribosomal RNA (347 nucleotides) under uncultured Phyllobacterium sp. RNAcentral's name for it is "bacterial SSU rRNA". It matches the Rfam family "Bacterial small subunit ribosomal RNA", at positions 989 to 1336 of the family's 1533-position model. Lineage: Bacteria; Pseudomonadati; Pseudomonadota; Alphaproteobacteria; Hyphomicrobiales; Phyllobacteriaceae. The record is from RNAcentral.
UCGCGGUUACCAGAGAUGGUUUCCUUCAGUUAGGCUGGAUCGGUGACAGGUGCUGCAUGGCUGUCGUCAGCUCGUGUCGUGAGAUGUUGGGUUAAGUCCCGCAACGAGCGCAACCCUCGCCCUUAGUUGCCAUCAUUCAGUUGGGCACUCUAAGGGGACUGCCGGUGAUAAGCCGAGAGGAAGGUGGGGAUGACGUCAAGUCCUCAUGGCCCUUACGGGCUGGGCUACACACGUGCUACAAUGGUGGUGACAGUGGGCAGCGAGCCCGCGAGGUCGAGCUAAUCUCACAAAAGCCAUCUCAGUUCGGAUUGCACUCUGCAACUCGAGUGCAUGAAGUUGGAAUCGCU